GUGGGCUUCUUCUCUAGGUACCGUCAGUCUGUUCCGUUAGGAACAGGUUUUCUUCCCUAUCGAAAGAGGUUUACAACCCGAAGGCCUUCAUCCCUCACGCGGCGUCACAUAGUCAGGGUUUCCCCCAUUGCUAAAUAUCCUCGACUGCAGCCUCCCGUAGGAGUUGGGGCAGUGUCUCAGUCCCCAUGUGGCUGACCACCCUCUCAGGCCAGCUACCCGUCAAAAGCCUUGGUAGGCCAUUACCCUACCAACUAGCUGAUAGGACGCGAGCUCAUCUCUAAACAAAAACCCUUGCGGGCCUUCUUUACUUACAGCUGCUUAUGCAACCGUAAACACAUCGGGUAUUACCCUCGCUUUCACAAGGCUAUCCCCGACUUAGAGGUAAAUUACUCACGUGUUACUCACCAGUCUGCCGCUAUAUCUUUCUUCCAUCGACAGAUCAGCCUUGCGGCUUCACCAUUUUCAAGAAAAAAGUAUCGCUCGACUUGCAUGCCUAAUCUACGCCGCCAGCGUUCACUCUGAGCCAUGAUCAAACUCUAAUCGAAUUCCCGCGGCCGCCAUGGCGGCCGGGAGCAUGCGACGUCGGGCCCAAUUCGCCCUAUAGUGAGUC
RNAcentral lists this ribosomal RNA (610 nucleotides) under uncultured bacterium. Its description in RNAcentral is "partial 16S ribosomal RNA". The record is from RNAcentral.